AAGUCGUAACAAGGUUUCCGUAGGUGAACCUGCGGAAGGAUCAUUACCUUUCAAUGCAGCAGAAUUGGGAUGGUUGAGUAUCUCGCCUCUCCGUUCUGCCUGUAUUCUACCCUUGUUUGUCAUAUACUAUUAUUUCCUCGGCAGGCUUGCCUGCCGAGUGAAGCCAUUUAUAACCUUUUUAAUUUUCAAUCAGCGUCUGAAAAAAAUUAAUAAUUACAACUUUCAACAACGGAUCUCUUGGUUCUG
Molecule: unclassified non-coding RNA, 246 nt
Filed under: Paraphoma chrysanthemicola
Lineage: Eukaryota; Fungi; Ascomycota; Dothideomycetes; Pleosporales; Phaeosphaeriaceae
Description: partial internal transcribed spacer region
Rfam family: Eukaryotic small subunit ribosomal RNA (bases 1-46)
Source: RNAcentral